This 3444-nucleotide long non-coding RNA is filed under the name Pan paniscus (pygmy chimpanzee). RNAcentral's name for it is "lncRNA (ENSPPAG00000045392.1)". The record is from RNAcentral. Lineage: Eukaryota; Metazoa; Chordata; Mammalia; Primates; Hominidae.
AUGUGUUUUCCAGAAGUGUAAUACUGGCUUCCCCUUCCAUUUUUGUAUCGUAUUAAAAAAUACGUAAAUUCUAAAGUAAGUGUUUAUGAUAAAACAUUCGAUAAUUCACAGAGGUGAAAAGCUACCCCCAGAAUCCCUUUCUGCUUGAAUUCCACGCUCUGGAGAGGACCCUGUGAGGGUCCAGGCACAGCUCUGCCCCCGGCACCCCUCCUCUCUGCUGCUUCCACACUGAAAGGCGGAGGCUCUGCUGCCUGUUUUCUUUUGUUUCUCCCCAUUUUAACUAAACACUAAAGAAAGUCAAGUGUGAACGUCGCGGUCAUUCAUUUCGCCUGUGCCGCACUUUCCUGCCCCGGCGAGCCCUCCGCCAGCACUGACCGGAGGUCGCUUCCUUCAGCUUUCUGGGUUGUCUCACUGGAACAGGGUCAGCCCCAUUCCCUUCCAUCCUGCCCCCUGCCUGGUCUGUAGCCACGUGGUGCCAGGAGUGAGCUCUGCUCUGCUUCAGGAUGACAGGCGUGUGUGGACGUUGGUAAGCCCUGUUGGAAGCCGUGAAGCUUUGGGCACAGCUGAGCGACCGCCGGUGCCUGCCGCGUGCACACCCUCUGGGCCCAGGCCGCAGGGAGGCUUCUCCAGAGGGCGGGUUCCCCACCCUCACACCCAACUGGUCUGAAAGGAUAGAAGCGCAUUAGAGGUGAAACUGGGGCCGUGGAGACAGAGUGGGAAAUGGACUGGGCUUGUCGCUUGUAUUUUACACAUGUCUUUGUUUGUUUGUUUGUUUCCCCUACCUUAAAGUUCAGACCUUUGGGCUCUUGGAUGCAUAAUAUACCAGCUUGUGGCAGGACUCCCACCAUUCCGAGCUGGGUAAGGAGACGGCGUUGCCUGGGCCUUGGAGCCUGUUGGGGUGCACCCCACCGGCCGGCAGUCCCUCCCAGCCUCGAGGUGGGUGGGGAGGGCAGCACGUGGUGCCGUGCCCAGGUGAGUCCGGGGCGCUCAUCCCUGCAUGUGGAGGCUUCUGGGACCCUGCCUGGGAUGACUUUUUUUUUCUUAAAUUUUUACAGAAACGAGUAUCUUAUAUUUCAGAAGAUCAUUAAGUUGGAAUAUGACUUUCCAGAAAAAUUCUUCCCUAAGGCAAGAGACCUCGUGGAGAAACUUUUGGUUUUAGAUGCCACAAAGCGGUUAGGCUGUGAGGAAAUGGAAGGGUACGGACCUCUUAAAGCACACCCGUUCUUCGAGUCCGUCACGUGGGAGAACCUGCACCAGCAGACGCCUCCGAAGCUCACCGCUUACCUGCCGGCUAUGUCGGAAGACGACGAGGACUGCUAUGGCAAUGUAAGCUGGCCAGGAUGGCGGGCGAGGCGGGUGGCACUGGGUCCUCCGUGCACUGGGCUUCAUGCCCGUGUGCCAGACCCACGUGUGAUUUGUAGCCGAAAGGGGAGGGUGUCUGUGCCACUGCGUCAGGCCUGCUGAUGGUUGUAGUCUUUGCUGCCGUGAGGCAGUGGCGGGUGAGGUGCUGGGUGGGUCAUGUUCUCGUCAUUUCCGUGGCCGUGGACAGGCUAGUGAGUUUCCACCCAGAGGGUGCCGCUAGAACCGGACACUGAGCACCCCCGGCACUGGCCCCGGGGUCCCACGUACGGGGCCUCCUGCCCGGCCUGUCGCAUCUGCGCUUGGCUUGGUGCUUGUACAACUGUGUGUCCAAGAUGCUCCAGAACACUGCCUGUCUUUCCACAGAAACGCCCGAGUGUUGUGUGGUUGAACUUUUGGGACGUGGCCUUGGGGACACUGGUACCUUCUGCUUCAGUGCUGAGUAGGCUCUGAGGCUGCUGGUCUCCCAGCUUGACCACAGCCAUGGGGUCUUCAGCACGCUUGGCUCUUUAAGCUUCUCGUAGAGAGCGUGGACCGUGUGCCCAAGGGACCGAGGGUGUUGUGAGAGGCAGGCAUGUCGCCCAGUUCAGCCUUGUUUCCUCUGCGUUCCUCUUGCCACCUCCCCCGUGACCCCCUCGUACUUAAGUACUGUUAUCAUGCGAUCCGUUUUUCUGGUUUGACUUCUGUCUCCAUGGCUUAUUCUAACUGGCACCGUGUACGGAGUUCCACUUUCCAUGACUGAGGAAGUCCAGAUUUUAUUUAUUUGUUUUGAGACAGGGUCUUGGUGUGUAGCUCAGGCUGGAGUGUAGUGGCGCGAUCUUGGCUCACUGCAACCUCUGCCGCUGUGGGUUCAAGCGAUUCUCCUGUCUCGCCCUCCCGACUAGCGGGAACUGCAGGUGCGCGCCACCAUGCCUGGCUAAUUUUUGUAUUUUUAGUAGAGACAGGGUUUCGCCAUGUUGGCCAGGCUGGUGUGGAACUCCUGACCUCAAGUGAUCUACCCGCCUCGGCCUCCCAAACUGCUGGAGUUUUAGGCAUGAGUUACUGCACCCAGCUGGGAAUUCUAGAUUUUAUCUAAAAGUCAUCCACAGCUAAAUUUCUGCUAGUGUCAGUUUCCCAACGCCCCUACCAUGCCCCUGCUGCGUAAUGCCCCUCAUCCUCCCGACAUCCUUUGAGCCCAAACUCUAAGGGAGCCAGGCUUGGGGAGCAGAGUCUGUGCUGCCUGACGUGGCCACCUGAAGCAUUUAGGGACUGCAAACCUCCCUUAAGAGCCUUAAGCGCAGAUUCCACAGGUCCUGCCUCAGGGCUUCCUCAUGGGUGGUCUUCAUUCCUCCAGGAUCCCAGAGGAACCCACAUAUGGGACAUGGCAGCUCAGGACAACACCCAGCCACCUACGUGGGACAGGGCCACGCAGGAUAGAGACAAGGAGACGAGGGCCUCAGAGACACAGGCUUCCCGGCCCCGCAUGGGUCCCGCACAGCCCCCUUCUCCAGCACCGAGGACGUGAGUGGCUGCCUCAGAGGUGGGUUAAAGGUGAGCCUGGGUGGCAGGGCCUUGGUCUGUGUCUAGCGCCUGUUUCUGAGCCAAUCCCACUAGGGGCAGACUGAGAUAAUACGAAGCCUCGACUCGAGCGGCUCCACGACAGAACACAAGCGGCUGCCCAGAGAGAGUACAUGUGAAAGACAUUCCCUGCCAAAGAGACAGGAGUGGGCAUCAUGGCUCACAGCCUCAGAGCAGGGCCAGGGCUGGGCCACAGCCCCCGUCACUCCACACCCCGCGUGAACUCGGAGGAGGCAGGCAGAUGCCGAGGCCCACAGGCCCAGAACAGAAACGGAGUCAGACGUUGCCCAGUGCAGACCGAUGCGCAGACACGGACCUGGGGGAGCAGGGCCACACCCGCACGCAGGUACCCAGAAACCCUCAGCCUUCACGGCGAGGCCUCGGGCUGUUCUGAGCCAAGCCAGCACCGCAGCACACAGGCAGGCCAGCCUGGGCCCAACGCGUGUGGGCGCCGUCCCUGCACCACGACCACUCAGAAUGGAACACGGCAGCUGGCAGCAGCAGGCACAGUCCAGGUGAUGGCACAGA